AUUAUGCUCCCUCCUUCCCGAAUUACUUGUCGCAGAAAUGGAUAUAUCUAGACGUAUUUUUAGUUCUAGAUACAUCCAUUUUUGCGACAAGUAAUUCGGAAUGGAGGGAGUACAUA
This is a non-coding RNA of Triticum aestivum (bread wheat), 116 nucleotides long. Lineage: Eukaryota; Viridiplantae; Streptophyta; Magnoliopsida; Poales; Poaceae. The record is from Rfam.